UCAACUGCAGCCAGACUGCAACUCUUACCUGAUUAACCUUCUUCCAAACCCCUUACCUACCCUUUUCUUCUCCUUAUAAAAAGGUCGGCCUGAAAUGAAAUGUUUA
Molecule: long non-coding RNA, 106 nt
Organism: Phyllostomus discolor (pale spear-nosed bat)
Lineage: Eukaryota; Metazoa; Chordata; Mammalia; Chiroptera; Phyllostomidae
Exons: 4
Source: RefSeq, a predicted model, not a curated record